This 575-nucleotide ribosomal RNA is filed under the name uncultured rumen bacterium. Its description in RNAcentral is "bacterial SSU rRNA". It matches the Rfam family "Bacterial small subunit ribosomal RNA", at positions 347 to 916 of the family's 1533-position model. The record is from RNAcentral.
GGCAGCAGCUAAGAAUAUUCCGCAAUGGACGAAAGUCUGACGGAGCGACGCCGCGUGGACGAGGAAGGUCGGAAGAUUGUAAAGUCCUUUUAUAUGUGGAGAAUAAGCAGGGGAGUGGAAAGCCCUUGUGGUGACUGUAGCAUAUGAAUAAGAGGCGGCUAAUUACGUGCCAACAGCCGCGGUAACACGUAAGCCUCGAGCGUUGUUCGGAAUUAUUGGGCGUAAAGGGCGUGUAGGCGGUCAUGCAAGUCUGAUGUGAAAGGCGGGGGCUCAACCCCUGGACUGCGUUGGAAACUGCGUGGCUGGAGUUACUGAGGAGCAGCCGGAAUUCCAGGUGUAGGGGUGAAAUCUGUAGAUAUCUGGAAGAACACCAAUGGCGAAGGCAGGCUGCUAGCAGAUAACUGACGCGGAGGCGCGAAGGUGCGGGGAGCAAACAGGAUUAGAUACCCUGGUAGUCCGCACAGUCAACUAUGCACACUAGAUGUCCGGCUUUAAGGUUGGGUGUCGAAGCAAACGCGAUAAGUGUGCCGCCUGGGGAGUAUGCCCGCAAGGGUGAAACUCAAAGGAAUUGACGG